Physcomitrium patens is the source of this 2360-nucleotide RNA transcript. RefSeq lists it as uncharacterized. The record is from RefSeq and is a predicted model, not a curated record. Lineage: Eukaryota; Viridiplantae; Streptophyta; Bryopsida; Funariales; Funariaceae.
UUGCAUCGUGAAGCGAGGGAGGGGUUUUACCCCCUUGGAGACUCCGCUCUCCGCCUGCGUUGCCUUGCCUUGGCUUUGAGGCUUGCUUUGUUGUUGCGUUACAGCAGCUGGACUAUUGGUCCAUAGACAAGCCGCCGAAGCCCUUGAUUGGAAUCCAAGGAUUCUACGCCAGAGCAUGUGCCUUGUAGUGGGAGAGAGUUCGUUCGCCGCAUGGAUCGGUGGUGGCCGAUGAUUGAGUGACGGCGGUUGCUGGCGUUAAUUUUACGAAAGCGGCGCAGGGAGAGAGGGAGUGAGGGAGGGAGGGACGGCGGGGGGCAGGUGGUGUGUUCCACGGGAGAGAUGAGCUUACUACGAAGUGUGCUCUCUAGUUAAGAGUGGAGCUGACGAUUUGCGUUUUAGCUGCGGUGUUGUAUUAACACGCUUGAAGUGAGGUGAGGAGUCCGCCAGCGACGCGAGGAGAGCUUAUCUGUCCUCUUGCUCUGUGUCGCGAUGAGCAGUUUGCGAGUCAAAGACGAAGAUGUUUGUGCGAAGGAAAUUGAAUUGGUACAGGAUCGUUACUUGUAUGCGGUGUGCAAAACGGACAAGGAACGCCGAGGCGAAGUGCACGAAUUGGACUCAGGGGGGUAGAAGCAGGAGGAGACGACGACGUCGGGUUGGGGCUGGGAGAGUGGAGUGGAAGGAUUGUGGCGUUGUAUCAUAGAUCAGUUAGCGUGGCGACUUGGGUCGUAAAAAGUCUUGGUUGUUGUUUUUUCAUUUUCCAGGGGUUCCUGUUCCUGGUUCUGAACAGAAAAUUAGGUUGAGCGUUGUGACGCUUUGACAAGGAGAGUGUAAUUAGGAGGAGUAAGGCGUGGAAUUGAAAGUGAACUCUGAGAAACGAAAAGUUCCUGUAGUUCUUAGCUAUGAUUCGAGGAUUUCACAAUUUGCUGCCGAGCGUGCCCUCAUCUCCGCGGCCAGCAGCUUCAAAAGCAGGGGAGUGCAACGCGUGUGACUGCACUGGAUUGAUAUCCUCUCAGGCGUUACCAAAUUCAGUCUCCGCAACUUGCACUUGUGAGACUUUGGAAGGGCAUGAUAUAUUUGGAAGUGAGUCAGUGUUCAAGGUUCACGAGAAUCAGUUGAACGUUCUUGACGAUUGGGAAUUCGCCGGGGACGAAGAGAAGGAGGUCAAGGAGCGGGUCGAGGCAACCGACGGAACGUCACAUUUUCUCACGUCAGACGCAGUCAGAGUUCCUGCUGAAGAAUCCGCUUUGGUCUAUGAAGAGGUUAACCCUGUCAUUUCAAGUUUGGAGGUCCGAACCAACGUUGCUGGAUACCUCGAUGAAGAACUUGGCCAGUCAAGGAACUGUGACUGGUUGGAGCCACCAUCUCCCUCUGGUUGUGUCGCAACGCAGGAGGGCAAUCGCCAGAUAGGUGAUGAAGGAGUCAUGCUUGAGGCCUUUCAACAGUUUCAACAAAGCCCGCAGAUUCAAAAAAUGGUUGUAGAAUUAGCCACCGAUGCGCGGGUGUGGCAAGCUGUUCUCGCCAACAAGAAGCUCCAGCAGUACAGGGUCGGUGAUGCUGAAGGCGACUUUGAAGCUGGUAUUAUUCUCAAGGGACAUGGCAUCGACUACGCCGCACCUCGAAGCAAGGUGAUUUCGAACUUUGUUCUGUUAUCACACAAUGCAGCGCGCGAUCUGAAGGAGGGAUUGUGGGACCAUGUUAGAGGAGCUAUUGAAGUGUUAGACAAGAGGACGCAGACAGAAACACACAAAUUGAUGAAGGAGUUUAUGCAUCGAAUGCUCAUGAUGAUGGCAUUGUUUAUGCUCAGUUUAAUUAUCUUCUUGUCCCUCCUUCCGCUCCAAGUAUCUUAAGGCGCCUGAUGAGUUAGGUUCAAUUCUUCCAUCUGAAGUUGGACGCUGUUCAAACAACGACAAUAUUCUGUGUCCUUAAUUCUGGAUCACAACUGACGCCUUUGAAAGAGUGGGGAUGAUUGAAGUCGACCUUCCCUCGUCCUUAUUCACAUGCAGUUUAUGAAUUUGGGCAGCUUUAAUGGUUUCGGCAAGUAUGUGAUAUCUUGAAAACUAUCCUAAGAAUUUUAACGGACAAGUUCUGAAUCAGAUGAGGGAUGUUGCAGACUUGAGAUUUUGUACUUGGUGUUGGUAGUAUUCAGGGCUCUGGCGUAUCUCCUCCGUAGUCUGGAGCGCGUCUUCGACCUGUUAACAAGAAUCUCUUACCAAGUAUCACCAACUAUACAUUGUCCCUACUUUUUAGAUUGUGGUUCAAGGUUAAGCCUUAACGUGAGAGUCCUGGGAAGCACGUUUUGCUCUAUCUCAACGUUCUCUGCAUGCCUUUCGUGGAUAGCGGCAUCUCAACUACAACAACCC